AUGGGAGAACUGGAGAUAUUUGAGAUGCUGGUGGGAAUUAAGCGCCAGACCUUCAUCGUCACAUGGCAGAAUAACCACAAGUUCAGGUAUAAUGUUCUGUAUGAACCAGGUAACUCAGAAGAAACCUUAUCAUGCACGUGUCGCGGGAUGGUUCGGAAAGAGCUGCCUUGCAAACAUAUUCUCUUUGUUUUGCAUCAUCUUAAAUUGUCUGAAAUACCAAAGUGUUGUGUCCUCCAUCGGUUGUCGAAAGAUGCGAGAGAUGGGUUGCCAGCGCAAUGCAAGAGUGAUCUUUUUGGUUGGGGUUGGUCUGGGCCAGUCAAGUUAGCAUAA
This 330-nucleotide ribosomal RNA is filed under the name Triticum aestivum (bread wheat). RNAcentral's name for it is "partial small subunit ribosomal RNA". The record is from RNAcentral. Lineage: Eukaryota; Viridiplantae; Streptophyta; Magnoliopsida; Poales; Poaceae.